RNAcentral lists this unclassified non-coding RNA (4010 nucleotides) under Apis dorsata (giant honeybee). RNAcentral describes it as "trafficking protein particle complex subunit 10, transcript variant X2". Lineage: Eukaryota; Metazoa; Arthropoda; Insecta; Hymenoptera; Apidae. The record is from RNAcentral.
UUUUAUUGCACAGAAGACUGCAACAAACAAUAUAUUGAAUACGAGAUAUCGAAGUCUAUAAGACUAUCGAUAUUACAUGACAUGUUAAACGAAGAUUUCAAUUCCAACCUCAAUGGAAUUUGUUUAAAGGAUUGAAAUAAAAUGUUAGAUUUAUUAUAUUAUGUUGAAUUUUUAUCUAUUUGUGACGGAUAAAACUAUUAUUUUUAAUUUAAUAAAGAAAAAAUAUUGAAAUAUUAAAUAUUUUAUUUCAAGAUAAACUGAAAAAUAAUUUUUAUAUAAAGUAAUAAAAGUGACGUAAAGUUGUAAUGAUUAAAAGCAAGUUCGCGAAGCAACUGCCAAUCUUUAGAAAUGAAUUGCAAUGGGGGGUCGUCUUUGGGUGGUAAACAUAGAUCAGAUAUCUUUAUGGAUAUUAAACCAAUUAUUACAUAUGCAGGAGAUGAUAAAUUAUUUUCUACAUUGGAAAAUAGUUUGUUUCAAGCCAUAUCUGCUGAUAUGGUAGAAUGGCGUAGAUCAUUUAGUAGACCAAUUAAACAAGUUAAAUUAGGAGCAACAUUUUUGCCAUUUUCCAAAGAUAUUUUACCAACUGAGAAAGAUUGGCAUCUUAUAAAACAGCCAAUAUUUCAUAUUUAUUGGACUGAAUGUUCUGAUGUAGAUACUUAUAAAUCAAAUAUCAGGGAAGACAUAGAUAAUUGGUUGAAGAUAUUAACACAAUAUCACAUUCAAGAUUGGAUGAUUAUUAUAGUAGAAACUUAUGAUAUAAAAAAAACUAAUAAAUUAUUACCAAGAACAACAGUUUUAGAUAAAAUUCGUAGUGAUUUUGCUGCAAAGAAUGGUGAUAGAUGUUGUGCUGUUAUAAAUCCAAUAAAAUCAGAAAUGCGAUCAGCUGAAUCAUGGAGAAGUUUAAUUAACCGUAUACGUUAUUUAAUGCUUGUUGCAUAUGAUAAAAGAUUAUCUCAUUUUGAAGACAUUAUUAGAGAACAAAGAGAAAAUAGAAAUCAUCCAAAUUGGAAUUUUUGUCAUUAUUUCUUAUUACAGGAAGAGCUUGCAUUUGUUUUACAAAUGUUAGGAUUAUAUGAUGAAGCAUUAGUACAGUAUGAUGAAUUAGAUGCUCUUUUUACACAAUUUGUUCUUAAUUCCAAUGUAGGAGAUACACCAAUUUGGUUAAAUUUAUUUCAAACUCCAUUAAACAAUUGGGGUGGUGUUAAUUUAAAUAAUGGUAUAAAUCAUCAUUUAAGAAAUCUUUUGGCUGAAUGCAAAGCAUCAUUAUUAGAUCUUAGAAGUUACUUAUUCAGUAGACAGUGUGCCAUGUUAUUAUCACUUAACAAACCAUGGGAAGUUGCGCAAAGGUGCUUAUCAUUUGUUCAUAAUACAUUAAGCGAAUUACGUAUAUUAGAAGUUCAACGACCUGAAGGGUCUAUUGAAUGUUGGUCUUUUCUUUGUGCAUUAGAAGUAUUGCAAGCUUGUCAAUUAUCAUCUUAUAAUAUCGAUAAUAAUCAACAAUUGGAUCUUUGCUCCUUACAUACAGCUAGUUUAUGGGCUCUUGCUAGAGAUAAAUUGGGAAAUUUAGGAAAAUUAUGUGGAUUAAUGCCAGGAAAUGAACCAUCUAGUGAACAGUUACAUACAGUUGUUUAUUUAAUAGCUGGUAUGGGAGAUUCUGAAUCACAUUUAGAGGGUAAAUUAACACCUACUGAUAAAUUAAAAGAAGCACUUUCAUCAAAAGAAGCAUUUAAAAAACAAUAUCUUGAACAUGCUGAAUUGGCUAUGGGUACCUAUAAACAUGUAGGUCGAAUUCGAUCAGCCAGAUUAAUUGGAAAAGAAUUAGCUCAAUUUUAUAGUGAGCUUGGGGAAAACCAAAAAGCUGUUGCAUUUUUAUCAGAUGCUUUAAAAACGUACACUGAUGAAGGUUGGAGUCAUUUAGGAGCUCAAACUCAACUUGAAUUGGCACAAUGCUACAAAAGAAUGGAUGAUGUUGAGAAAUAUACAAAAAUAUGUGCUGCAAUUGCUAGUUUAGAUGUAUUACAUAUUACUGUGCGAAAUACUUAUUUUGAAGAAAUGUUUGGAUAUAUGAAAAUGAUCUCAUCGCCACAACCUUUAUUCAUAGAAUUUGGAUGUGCUUUUGUGAUACAUAAUAUGGAAAUUAAAGUGAUGGAUAAAAUUGUUCAAGACUGUGUAGUUAAUAUUGAAAUAAAUAUACAAAGUUUAUUUCCUAGAGAAGUAAAUUGCACUAAAGCAUCUAUAUCUGUUGAAGAAAUUCAAAAACCUUUAAUAUCUAAUAAAAAAAAAGGUUCAAAAUUAACACCUGAACUAUUAAUACCAUUGUUAUCAAAAUGUACUUUAGAAGAUAUGAAACCAUUUGAUCCAAGUUUACUUCAAUUACAAGUAUAUUCAUAUUUAGAUUAUAAAGAAGAUAAAAGUCUCGGAUCUGCUAGUGUUAUACACAGAAACACUAAGCCUAUUGUAAGACGUUCUGAUAGUACAAAACAUAGAAAACCAUCUGUAAAUGCAAAAGGUGAUUUUAGCAAAGCGUUAUUAUGUGAUGAAUUCAUUGUAAAACCAGGUAUGAAUACAUUUACAUUAACUAGACGUGUUGAUCAACCUGGUUUUUACAAAGUUGGUCAAAUAUCAUUAGUUAUUGAAGAAAAAUUGGAAUUUUUAUCUCCUAUUUUAAAUCCUCGAUUGUGUUACGAAGUAGCUAAAACUCAGCCUAUAAUUUCCAUGAAAUGUGGUAGAGAUUUAUUGGCAGGCCUUAUUCAAGAUAUAGAACUAGUUAUUAUGAGUGGAAGUAUAAAAAUAACAAAGGAAAUGAAACUUAAAUUACGUACGUCUAGGGGAUUAAUAAUAAAAGUUGAUAGCUCACAAGAAAUAAUGUCUAAAGAAUUAGAAAUAUCACUGCCACUUUGUGAGCCAUUUCAAACAAUACAAUUAAAAUUUAAAGUUUUAGCUGAAUUACCACCAAAGAAAGAUUCAUUAUCAAUAGAACAUAAGUUGAAUAUACAAUGUCCAUGGGGUUUAGAAGAAAGCAUUCCUUUACAUUUUGGUCCACCACUUAUGUCAAAUAUGAAACUUCAUACAGCAAAACAAAGAAAAUUUCUUCAAAUAAUUGUAACAGGAUUAACAAAUCAUCUUCUACAAUUAAUUGAACCAGAAUUAACAACAGUAACAUCAAUAGAUGUUAAUUUUAAAAGUUUAAAUCCUAUUGCUGGUCAAAGAUUAGUAAUAGGUAAUGGAAUAAAUGUAUCAUUUAUGUGGGAACUUGAAAUUGGUAAAGAUGAAAAGUCUUUGAUGCCAAUUAAGACUGAUUUUCGUGUAAAAUAUAUAUCAAUCAAUGAUACUGAAAAUCUAAAUGAUUCACACACUAAUGAUGAUCCUUUGCAAAUUCAUAAUUUACAAAGAAUGGAAAAAGCAUCCAGUCUUUACAGAUGCAAUUUUGAUAUUACAGAUUAUGUGUGUCUUCAAAAGUUGAAGCAGCUGGAAAUGGAGGUGAAUUUUGUCGUGCUGGUAGCAUGUGCCAUCUUUAUCUUACAGUAACACGUAUGUUACCUAGUCCAAAUCCAAAUCCUUCACCACAAUUAAUGUAUGAGGUUCUUGCUGAUCAAGCUAUGUGGGCUGUGUGUGGUCGUACUGCUGGUAUUGUGUCUUUGGAAGUAUUAGAAAAACAAAGUGUCACAUUGGACGUGAUGCCAUUAACUAGUGGUUAUUUACCUCUUCCUAUUGUGAGAUUGUCUCGAUAUAUUCCUGCACCAGAAUCAAAAAGUGAUAUGAUUCGUAAAAGUGAAAUAGUUUCUAGUUCAAGACUAGAACCAUUUAGUCCUGGUCAAGUUUACAAUGCUAGUAAAGCACAGCAAGUUCAUGUUUUACCAGCAGCACCUUCAGAAGCAAAUUGAAUGCAGAUAUUGGAUUAAAAAUGUAUAAUACAUCUAUGGCAUUAUUAAGUGCAAAUUGUAUGUAUAUUUAUCAAGUCAGUUUCUAUGUUCUAUUUGGUAUAUUUCUAUGAUACUGAUUAAUAUUAU